AGCAGCCGCGGUAAUUCCAGCUCCAAUAGCGUAUAUUAAAGUUGUUGCAGUUAAAAAGCUCGUAGUUGAAUUUCGGGAUCAAUUAAUUGGUCGUGCCUCUGGUACGUACUGAUUUUAUUGGUUUCUCCCUUCUGACGAACCAUGAUGUCAUUAAUUUGAUGUCGUGGAGAAUCAGGACUGUUACUUUGAAAAAAUUAGAGUGUUUAAAGCAAGCUAACGCUUGAAUACAUUAGCAUGGAAUAAUGAAAUAGGACGUUUGAUCCUAUUUUGUUGGUUUCUAGGAUCGACGUAAUGAUCAAUAGGGAUAGUUGGGGGCAUUAGUAUUCAAUUGUCAGAGGUGAAAUUCUUGGAUUUAUUGAAGACUAACUACUGCGAAAGCAUUUGCCAAGGAUGUUUUCAUUAAUCAAGAACGAAAGUUAGGGGAUCGAAGACGAUCAGAUACCGUCGUAGUCUUAACCAUAAACUAUGCCGACUAGGGAUCGGAUGAUGUUAAUUUUUUAAUGACUCAUUCGGCGCCUUACG
RNAcentral lists this ribosomal RNA (522 nucleotides) under uncultured Glomus. RNAcentral's name for it is "SSU rRNA". It matches the Rfam family "Eukaryotic small subunit ribosomal RNA", at positions 569 to 1092 of the family's 1831-position model. Lineage: Eukaryota; Fungi; Glomeromycota; Glomeromycetes; Glomerales; Glomeraceae. The record is from RNAcentral.